GAGAAGGGGAUAACUGUCCGAAAGGAUAGCUAAUACCCUAUAUUGCCUUUUGUCACUAAGGCAAAAGGUGAAAGCGAGGCUGUCAAAGGCUUCGGCUCAAAGAGGGGUUCGCGUCCUAUCAGGUAGUUGGUGGGGUAACGGCCUACCAAGCCAAUGACGGGUAGCUGGUCUUAGAGGAUGAUCAGCCACAGUGGGACUGAGACACGGCCCGCACCCCUACGGGGGGCAGCAGUGGGGAAUCGUGGGCAAUGGGCGCAAGCCUGACCCCGCAAUGCCGCGUGAGGGAAGAAGCCCUUCGGGGUGUAAACCUCUGUCAGAUGGGAAGAUGGGACUAGGGGCUAAUACCUCCUGGUCUUGACGGUACCAUCAGAGGAAGGGACGGCUAACUACGUGCCAGCAGCCGCGGUAAUACGUAGGUCCCAAGCGUUGCGCGAUGUUACUGGGCGUAAAGCGUCCGUAGCUGGUUUCGUAAGCGGAUUGUCAAAGCCCGAAGCUCAACUUCGGCAAGGCAUUCCGAACUGCGUUACUUGAGUCCUGUUCAGGUAGGCGGAAUUCCCGGUGUAGCGGUGAAAUGCGUAGAUAUCGGGAGGAACACCAGUGGCGAAGGCGGCCUACUGGGACGGUACUGACGGUCAUGGACGAAAGCUGGGGGAGCAAACCGGAUUAGAUACCCGGGUAGUCCCAGCCGUAAACGAUGGAUGUUAGGUGCAGUGAUAACUUCGCUGCACCCCAGCUAACGCGUUAAACAUCCCGCCUGGGGAGUACGGGCGCAAGCCUGAAACUCAAAGGAAUUGGCGGGGGCCCGCACAACCGGUGGAGCGUCUGGUUUAAUUCGAUGCUAACCGAAAAACCUUACCAGGGUUUGAAAUGGUAGGAAAGGCUGUCGAAAGAUAGCCGUGUUUCCCUUUUGGGAGAAAUCCUACCACAGGUGGUGCAUGGCCGUCGUCAGCUCGUGUUGUGAGAUGUUGGGUUAAGUCCCGCAACGAGCGCAACCCUUGUCCUUAUUUGCUUCCUCGUAUGAGGUGCUCUAUAAGGAGACUGCCGGCGACAAGCCGGAGGAAGGAGGGGACGACGUCAAGUCAGUAUGCCCUUUAUGCCCUGGGCUACACAGGCGCUACAGUGGCAAGGACGAUGAGUAGCAAGAGUGCAAGCUCAAGCUAAUCUCACAAACCUUGUCAUGGUGCG
RNAcentral lists this ribosomal RNA (1185 nucleotides) under uncultured Hydrogenobaculum sp. RNAcentral's name for it is "bacterial SSU rRNA". It matches the Rfam family "Bacterial small subunit ribosomal RNA", at positions 134 to 1295 of the family's 1533-position model. The record is from RNAcentral. Lineage: Bacteria; Pseudomonadati; Aquificota; Aquificia; Aquificales; Aquificaceae.